GGUUAGAUUUGUGACUCUACAGAAAUCCUGCCAUUAGCCAUUUUUAGCGUUCCACACGAAGUUUUUGUUACGUUGCGAUUGUGAACGACAACUUGAAUAUUGUUUAUUAUUAAUUGAAUGCUGUACUACAUUACGUUUUACAAGAUCUUCAAGAAUGAUUAGCAUCAGUGAUGCUCAUACACACACUUAAUGUUUUAAAAUCGAGUGGUGUCUCACAAAAUGGGUAAAAUCAAAAUGGAAAAUGAUGUUGAUGUUCAAAGUGAAAAAGAUUCCAUUUGCGUGGUAUCAGAUGAGGUUCAUAUACAAUCAGGAACUUCAAUAAAAAAAGAUGAAACUGAGGUAA
Molecule: non-coding RNA, 343 nt
Organism: Zootermopsis nevadensis
Lineage: Eukaryota; Metazoa; Arthropoda; Insecta; Blattodea; Termopsidae
Source: RefSeq, a predicted model, not a curated record